AUCAACCGAGAUUCCCCCAGUAGCGGCGAGCGAACGGGGAGCAGCCCAGAGUCUGAAUCAGCAUGUGUGUCAGUGGAAGCGUCUGGAAAGUCGCAGGGUACAGGGUGAUACUCCCGUACACGAAGAUGCAUUUGCUGUGAACUCGAAGAGUAGGGCGGGACACGUGGUAUCCUGUCUGAAUAUGGGGGGACCAUCCUCCAAGGCUAAAUACUCCUGACUGACCGAUAGUGAACCAGUACCGUGAGGGAAAGGCGAAAA
RNAcentral lists this ribosomal RNA (258 nucleotides) under Leclercia tamurae. Its description in RNAcentral is "partial 23S ribosomal RNA". It matches the Rfam family "Bacterial large subunit ribosomal RNA", at positions 224 to 520 of the family's 2925-position model. The record is from RNAcentral. Lineage: Bacteria; Pseudomonadati; Pseudomonadota; Gammaproteobacteria; Enterobacterales; Enterobacteriaceae.